Molecule: unclassified non-coding RNA, 347 nt
Organism: Bos indicus x Bos taurus (hybrid cattle)
Lineage: Eukaryota; Metazoa; Chordata; Mammalia; Artiodactyla; Bovidae
Gene: 7SK
Rfam family: 7SK RNA
About the family: 7SK was discovered as an abundant small nuclear RNA in the mid-70s but a possible function has only recently been suggested. Two independent studies have found that 7SK RNA binds the CDK9/cyclin T complex (known as elongation factor P-TEFb).
Source: Ensembl
GGAUGUGAGGGCAAUCUGGUUGUGACAUCUGUCACCCCAUUGAUCAUCAGGGUUGAUUCAGCUGAUCUAGCUGGCUAGGCCAGUGUCCCGUUCCUCCCUCAUGGCUCCAUGUGCGCCACCCCCCCCCCCCACCCCGCUCCCCGCCAACCAAGGCUGCAUGCUCAGUUGAAGAGGACAACCAUCCCUGAUGGAGGAGGACUGCUCUUCGGUCAAGGGUAUAUGAGUCGCUGUGCUCCCCUGCUAGAACCUUCAAGCAAGCUCUCAAGGAAUAAGUGGUAAUCUAAGGAUCAUUAACAUAUUUCCACAGUUACCUGAAGAGCAGAAGAGGAGGUUUGCCUCCUUUACGU